GGAGCCGAUAACCAACGUAUAUCUUUGGAAACAAAUCUAUAGUAUCUCUCUGUGCAUACUUUUCUCUCUUUUAUUUUGGUUCUGCUUCCAGAUUGUUCUUGAGAUUGAGUUUAUUGUUUGGAAUUCGUACUAGUAUAUGCGCAGGUAUGAUUUUUCUUAACACUAUGUACUUUAAUUGGUUUAUUGUUUGUUAUUUGAAAUAAGUUGAGCCCUAAUUUUGGUCUUGAUUUGAGUAAAAUCUUAAUUGGGUUUGUAAGUUGAGAUGGGUAUAAUUAAGAAUUUCGUGAGAUGAUUUAAAAUUUAAGAAGGAAUGGAAGAUUGGGCUAAUAUGGAUCUCUUGAAAUAUUCCAAGGACACGGUGGAGAAGCUUUGAGAAAAGUUCAAAUCAAAUCAGAGAACAAAGAUAGAGAGCCAUGUACACAGUUCGCAUGGGAAAACUGAGAGAUAUAACAAAAAUCUAUGUAUCCAGCCUUUUCUUGCACCAGGUUCCAACUCAUGCAUCAAUUUUUGCUACUUGGAAGUUGGAAAUAAGACGCCUAAUAAGCAAUAAAAACCCUGAAACGUACAAGUGGUCCUCAUUGCUGGCUUCUCCUCCUACCUCCUCCAUCAUUCAUGACUCCCCAUCUUUGCAUAUAUAAUUAUGUUUGUGUUCUUCGAGUAGUAGCUGCCUAGCCUAUAUAGCUAGCUAGCUCAUCAUGAGGACCACUAUCUAUGUACUUACUGUGUCAGGACGAAAAUAACAGGUUAUAUCGUUCAUUGAUAUGAUUUUGGAAUUUGGAUUCCAUUUCCAUGUCAGCGAACUUAACAAGUCAUGAUUUCUCUGAGUGACAAUGGCUACUUUGGAUUUUCCGUACACAGUACUAUGCACUGAAGUUGGAUCUUCUGUGCGAACAUGUCAAUGUUACAUUAUAGUUGACAAUUAAGUCGUAUAGGUUAGAAAUAUCCUAGCUCAUGAAUGUGCAUAUGAAUUCUUUAUCAAAUACGGAUUAAUGGGAACAUUUCAAUAGUUUGGGAAUUUUCUA
This is a long non-coding RNA of Papaver somniferum (opium poppy), 1022 nucleotides long. RefSeq lists it as uncharacterized. Lineage: Eukaryota; Viridiplantae; Streptophyta; Magnoliopsida; Ranunculales; Papaveraceae. The record is from RefSeq and is a predicted model, not a curated record. The transcript is spliced from 2 exons.